Molecule: ribosomal RNA, 520 nt
Filed under: uncultured bacterium
Lineage: Bacteria
Description: bacterial SSU rRNA
Rfam family: Bacterial small subunit ribosomal RNA
Source: RNAcentral
AGGACGAACGGCUGGCGGCGUGCCUAAUACAUGCAAGUCGAACGGUCUUUCUAUGGAAGCUUGCUUCCACUGAGAAGAUAGUGGCGAACGGGUGAGUAACACGUGGGUAACCUGCCCAUAAGAGGGGGAUAACAUCCGGAAACGGGUGCUAAUACCGCAUAGUUUUCUUGAUCGCAUGAUCGGGAAAGGAAAGACGGCCUUUGUGCUGUCGCUUAUGGAUGGACCCGCGGCGUAUUAGUUAGUUGGUGAGGUAACGGCUCACCAAGACGAUGAUACGUAGCCGACCUGAGAGGGUGAUCGGCCACAUUGGGACUGAGACACGGCCCAAACUCCUACGGGAGGCAGCAGUAGGGAAUCUUCCGCAAUGGACGAAAGUCUGACGGAGCAACGCCGCGUGAGUGAAAGAAGGUUUUCGGAUCGUAAAACUCUGUUGUCAGAGAAGAACAAGUUGGAGAGUAACUGCUCCAGCCUUGACGGUAUCUGACCAGAAAGCCACGGCUAACUACGUGCCAGCCGCGGC